UUUAUGGAGAGUUUGAUCCUGGCUCAGGAUGAACGCUGGCGGCGUGCCUAAUACAUGCAAGUCGAGCGAACGGACGAGAAGCUUGCUUCUCUGAUGUUAGCGGCGGACGGGUGAGUAACACGUGGAUAACCUACCUAUAAGACUGGGAUAACUUCGGGAAACCGGAGCUAAUACCGGAUAAUAUUUUGAACCGCAUGGUUCAAAAGUGAAAGACGGUCUUGCUGUCACUUAUAGAUGGAUCCGCGCUGCAUUAGCUAGUUGGUAAGGUAACGGCUUACCAAGGCAACGAUGCAUAGCCGACCUGAGAGGGUGAUCGGCCACACUGGAACUGAGACACGGUCCAGACUCCUACGGGAGGCAGCAGUAGGGAAUCUUCCGCAAUGGGCGAAAGCCUGACGGAGCAACGCCGCGUGAGUGAUGAAGGUCUUCGGAUCGUAAAACUCUGUUAUUAGGGAAGAACAUAUGUGUAAGUAACUGUGCACAUCUUGACGGUACCUAAUCAGAAAGCCACGGCUAACUACGUGCCAGCAGCCGCGGUAAUACGUAGGUGGCAAGCGUUAUCCGGAAUUAUUGGGCGUAAAGCGCGCGUAGGCGGUUUUUUAAGUCUGAUGUGAAAGCCCACGGCUCAACCGUGGAGGGUCAUUGGAAACUGGAAAACUUGAGUGCAGAAGAGGAAAGUGGAAUUCCAUGUGUAGCGGUGAAAUGCGCAGAGAUAUGGAGGAACACCAGUGGCGAAGGCGACUUUCUGGUCUGUAACUGACGCUGAUGUGCGAAAGCGUGGGGAUCAAACAGGAUUAGAUACCCUGGUAGUCCACGCCGUAAACGAUGAGUGCUAAGUGUUAGGGGGUUUCCGCCCCUUAGUGCUGCAGCUAAC
This 874-nucleotide ribosomal RNA is filed under the name Staphylococcus aureus. Its description in RNAcentral is "bacterial SSU rRNA". It matches the Rfam family "Bacterial small subunit ribosomal RNA", at positions 1 to 856 of the family's 1533-position model. The record is from RNAcentral. Lineage: Bacteria; Bacillati; Bacillota; Bacilli; Caryophanales; Staphylococcaceae.